AUUCUACUCCCUCCGUUGCACAAUACAUGCCUUCUAUUUGUCAAAAUAUAUAUGUAUCUAGACAUGUUUUAGUAUAUCGGUACAUCCAUUUUUCGACAAAUGGAAGUCAAGUAUUUUGGAACGGAGGGAGUACACA
Non-coding RNA from Triticum aestivum (bread wheat), 136 nucleotides. NCBI's taxonomy places the organism in Eukaryota, Viridiplantae, Streptophyta, Magnoliopsida, Poales, Poaceae. The record is from Rfam.